GCGGAAGUAGUUCAGUGGUAGAAACACCACCUUGCCAGGUGGGGGUCGCGAGUUCGAACCUCGUCUUCCGCUCCA
RNAcentral lists this transfer RNA (75 nucleotides) under Priestia megaterium. Its description in RNAcentral is "Bacillus megaterium tRNA-OTHER". It matches the Rfam family "tRNA". From Rfam's summary of the family: Transfer RNA (tRNA) molecules are approximately 80 nucleotides in length. Their secondary structure includes four short double-helical elements and three loops (D, anti-codon, and T loops). Further hydrogen bonds mediate the characteristic L-shaped molecular structure. tRNAs have two regions of fundamental functional importance: the anti-codon, which is responsible for specific mRNA codon recognition, and the 3' end, to which the tRNAs corresponding amino acid is attached (by aminoacyl-tRNA synthetases). tRNAs cope with the degeneracy of the genetic code in two manners: having more than one tRNA (with a specific anti-codon) for a particular amino acid; and 'wobble' base-pairing, i.e. permitting non-standard base-pairing at the 3rd anti-codon position. The record is from RNAcentral. Lineage: Bacteria; Bacillati; Bacillota; Bacilli; Caryophanales; Bacillaceae.